This is a long non-coding RNA of Sander lucioperca (pikeperch), 135 nucleotides long. RefSeq lists it as uncharacterized. The record is from RefSeq and is a predicted model, not a curated record. Lineage: Eukaryota; Metazoa; Chordata; Actinopteri; Perciformes; Percidae. The transcript is spliced from 4 exons.
GGUUCAUUACAGGAACCACAGGGGUCAAAGGUUUUAUGACGCCACUGACAGGCAACUAAAUGAAACGUCCUGUGUAAUUAAAAUUAAAUAAGAUUUCUCUGGGUUUGAACGUUGUUGGAAACAUUUAGGAUAGUG